GAUGAACGCUAGCUACAGGCUUAACACAUGCAAGUCGAGGGGCAGCAUGGUCUUAGCUUGCUAAGGCCGAUGGCGACCGGCGCACGGGUGAGUAACACGUAUCCAACCUGCCGUCUACUCUUGGACAGCCUUCUGAAAGGAAGAUUAAUACAAGAUGGCAUCAUGAGUUCACAUGUUCACAUGAUUAAAGGUAUUCCGGUAGACGAUGGGGAUGCGUUCCAUUAGAUAGUAGGCGGGGUAACGGCCCACCUAGUCUUCGAUGGAUAGGGGUUCUGAGAGGAAGGUCCCCCACAUUUGAACUGAGACACGGUCCAAACUCCUACGGGAGGCAGCAGUGAGGAAUAUUGGUCAAUGGGCGAGAGCCUGAACCAGCCAAGUAGCGUGAAGGAUGACUGCCCUAUGGGUUGUAAACUUCUUUUAUAAAGGAAUAAAGUCGGGUAUGUAUACCCGUUUGCAUGUACUUUAUGAAUAAGGAUCGGCUAACUCCGUG
RNAcentral lists this ribosomal RNA (490 nucleotides) under uncultured bacterium. RNAcentral's name for it is "partial 16S ribosomal RNA". It matches the Rfam family "Bacterial small subunit ribosomal RNA", at positions 28 to 507 of the family's 1533-position model. The record is from RNAcentral.